GGUUUAAUUCGAUGAUACGCGAGGAACCUUACCCGGGCUUGAAUUGCAACUGAAUGAUGUGGAGACAUGUCAGCCGCAAGGCAGUUGUGAAGGUGCUGCAUGGUUGUCGUCAGCUCGUGCCGUGAGGUGUCGGCUUAAGUGCCAUAACGAGCGCAACCCUUAUCGAUAGUUACCAUCAGGUUAUGCUGGGGACUCUGUCGAGACUGCCGUCGUAAGAUGUGAGGAAGGUGGGAUGACGUC
RNAcentral lists this ribosomal RNA (240 nucleotides) under uncultured bacterium. Its description in RNAcentral is "partial 16S ribosomal RNA". It matches the Rfam family "Bacterial small subunit ribosomal RNA", at positions 943 to 1186 of the family's 1533-position model. The record is from RNAcentral.